RNAcentral lists this long non-coding RNA (436 nucleotides) under Physcomitrium patens. Its description in RNAcentral is "long non-coding RNA (PPAT_LNC002372)". The record is from RNAcentral. Lineage: Eukaryota; Viridiplantae; Streptophyta; Bryopsida; Funariales; Funariaceae.
CUAGUAUCUACAGUAAGUAUUACUUACCUAUUACAUUCAUAAUCAAUUCUUCUUAAAAUUGUACGUAUCAAUAAUAAUACCUUUAGCUUUUGUAUUACUUUUAUAUAUUUUUUUUAAAUUGAAAACUCUUGCAUAAUAAUACAUACAAUAGAUUUGCUAUAUAAGCAUAAUGAAGAAUUUAUAUACAAUAAAUAUGCAAGCUCCUAAAAAUCUACGUACUUCUAUUAACAAAUCACAUAUAAUUUUUAUGAUUUCAAUUCCAUCAAUUUUAUUCGGAUCCAAUUUUUUCCCAUAAAAUUUAUAUAAAUAUCCAAUAAUAACUUAUAUUCCAAAUAUAAAUUUUAUUCUUGAAAGUAUAAGAUGAACUUCUUUAAGUUUAGUUAAAAUCUUUUCACAAUCUUAUAUAUAAUCAACAAUGUACUAGUGACACCCCCUC